GUGAACGCUGGCGGUAGGCCUCACACCUGCCAGUCGCACGGCAGCACAGUAAGAGCUUGCUCUUACGGGUGGCGAGUGGCGGACGGGUGAGGAAUACAUCUGAAUCUACUUUUUCGUGGGGGAUAACGUAGGGAAACUUACGCUAAUACCGCAUACGACCUACGGGUGAAAGCAGGGGAUCUUCGGACCUUGCGCGAUUGAAUGAGCCGAUGUCGGAUUAGCUAGUUGGCGGGGUAAAGGCCCACCAAGGCGACGAUCCGUAGCUGGUCUGAGAGGAUGAUCAGCCACACUGGAACUGAGACACGGUCCAGACUCCUACGGGAGGCAGCAGUGGGGAAUAUUGGACAAUGGGCGCAAGCCUGAUCCAGCCAUACCGCGUGGGUGAAGAAGGCCUUCGGGUUGUAAAGCCCUUUUGUUGGGAAAGAAAAGCAGCAGGUUAAUACCCCGCUGUUCUGACGGUACCCAAAGAAUAAGCACCGGCUAACUUCGUG
Molecule: ribosomal RNA, 491 nt
Filed under: uncultured bacterium
Lineage: Bacteria
Description: partial 16S ribosomal RNA
Rfam family: Bacterial small subunit ribosomal RNA
Source: RNAcentral